RNAcentral lists this ribosomal RNA (433 nucleotides) under uncultured bacterium. RNAcentral describes it as "partial 16S ribosomal RNA". It matches the Rfam family "Bacterial small subunit ribosomal RNA", at positions 29 to 507 of the family's 1533-position model. The record is from RNAcentral.
AACGAACGCUGGCGGCAGGCUUAACACAUGCAAGUCGAACGGAUCCUUCGGGAUUAGUGGCAGACGGGUGAGUAACGCGUGGGAACUUACCCUUUGCUACGGUAUAACUCAGGGAAACUUGAGCUAAUACCGUAUGUGCCCUUCGGGGGUAAGAUUUAUCGGGAAAGGAUCGGCCCGCGUUGGAUUCGCUAGUUGGUGGGGUAAUGGCCUACCAAGGCGACGAUCCAUAGCUGGUCUGAGAGGAUGAUCAGCCACACUGGGACUGAGACACGGCCCAGACUCCUACGGGAGGGAGCAGUGUGGAAUAUUGGGCGAUGGACGCAAGCCUGAUCCAGCCAUGCCGCGGGAGUGAUGAAGGUCGUAGGAUUGUAAAGCUCUUUGACCGGUGAAGAUAAUGACGGUAGCCGGAGAAGAAGCCCCGGCUAACUUCGUG